UACUAGUUGUCGGGUUUUAAUUAACUUGGUAACGCAGCUAACGCGUGAAGUAGACCGCCUGGGGAGUACGGUCGCAAGAUUAAAACUCAAAGGAAUUGACGGGGACCCGCACAAGCGGUGGAUGAUGUGGAUUAAUUCGAUGCAACGCGAAAAACCUUACCUACCCUUGACAUGUACGGAAGGCCGAAGAGAUUUGGCUGUGCUCGAAAGAGAACCGUAACACAGGUGCUGCAUGGCUGUCGUCAGCUCGUGUCGUGAGAUGUUGGGUUAAGUCCCGCAACGAGCGCAACCCUUGUCAUUAGUUGCUACAUUCAGUUGAGCACUCUAAUGAGACUGCCGGUGACAAACCGGAGGAAGGUGGGGAUGACGUCAAGUCCUCAUGGCCCUUAUGGGUAGGGCUUCACACGUCAUACAAUGGUACAUACAGAGGGCCGCCAACCCGCGAGGGGGAGCUAAUCCCAGAAAGUGUAUCGUAGUCCGGAUCGCAGUCUGCAACUCGACUGCGUGAAGUUGGAAUCGCUAGUAAUCGCGGAUCAGCAUGUCGCGGUGAAUACGUUCCCGGGUCUUGUACACACCGCCCGUCACACCAUGGGAGCGGGUUUUACCAGAAGUAGGUAGCUUAACCGCAAGGAGGGCGCUCACCACGGUAGGAUUCGUGACUGGGGUGAAGUCGUAACAAGGUAGCCGUAUCGGAAGGUGC
RNAcentral lists this ribosomal RNA (700 nucleotides) under uncultured bacterium. RNAcentral's name for it is "bacterial SSU rRNA". It matches the Rfam family "Bacterial small subunit ribosomal RNA", at positions 814 to 1515 of the family's 1533-position model. The record is from RNAcentral.